Austrofundulus limnaeus is the source of this 1527-nucleotide long non-coding RNA. RefSeq lists it as uncharacterized. NCBI's taxonomy places the organism in Eukaryota, Metazoa, Chordata, Actinopteri, Cyprinodontiformes, Rivulidae. The transcript is spliced from 4 exons. The record is from RefSeq and is a predicted model, not a curated record.
UUAAAAGAUACUUUACAACAUAAAGACCUUUUUUCUUGAGUACUUUAAUAAAUACUCAAAUGAAAUAUUAAGUACAUGUUUUUUGACAAGUAAAUACAUAAUUCCAAAAGUUGGAUUUCUCUUUAUGUGUAUUAUAGAAUAGUGAACUGGAACAAGAAAAGGAAGCUUCUAUGACAUCGACCAACUCUCAAAAGCAACAAGCAGUGGUCAGUAACAAAGACAAAAAAUGUAUUGUUGACAGUGUAGACAAAGAAUAAUGGAUGUAUACAGUAUCAGCUUCUAUUAUUAAAUUAAACACUUAUUAAAAGGUAGUAUUUUAUCAUAAAUACACAUAAAACAUCACUGAAUAUUAUGUAGUUGUAACUAAUGUGUUAAACCCACCAUACCACUCAAUAAAUGAUUAUUUAUCAUAGGCUUUUAUCUACGAAGUUUAAGUUAACUUCAAAUUAUAAAUUACAUUUUUGUAAGUUUGACUUGUCAACUUUAUGAUUAUAGGUUUAAUUGAGUCGAUUAAUUUUCAAAACAAUCCAUUACAAACUACAUUUUUCAAUAUAUUAACAAACACUUUGAUGCUUCAGUCACAUGGCACAUAAUUUUAUGCAAUAUUAUACAUUUUCAGCAUGGAAAUACAGAAUCAUAAAAUGAAGUGUAAGAGGAGCCAUGUAAAUAAUAUGUUAAUGCUGGUUAGAUUAAUGUAUGUAUCUCAUUUAAUACCAUUAAAUGUAAAUGCAGUAAAUGUCUAAUUUUGUAAAUUGCUUAUCAUUUGAAAAUAUGUUUUGUGUGACAACCCUCAGCUCUGCAAUUUGUGGAAAAAGAAAGACACAGAGGUUGUGGUGUCAGUCAUCCCAUCGCAGAUCAGAGGGAACAACUUUCUUAUUCACCACAGUGAACUAAGGACACUUAGGCCACAUCAGUGGCUUACAGGCGAGAUCAUUGAGUGUUUAUUGCACAUCAACAUCAACAAGAUGGGCAAAGGAAGUUCUCUCUUCUUAAUGAAUCACUAUGUCACUGGUGUGAUUCUGUUUGGAAAAUGAGAGGUUGUCAGAAGGAAUAGUCUGUCAAAGAUAAACUUUGACAACUACAAYGGAAUCAUUUCCUUUGUCAACAUUGACAAUGUACACUGGAAGUUUUUGCAUAUAAAUGCAGCUGAUGGCCUAGUGUACUUGGUGGACCCUGCAAAAAGUUCAACAGAGCAGCAAGAUUCUGAACGUGCUGCACAAAGWUUCAAGUAAGGGUUGAGGGGUGUGUUGUCUGGUGGCAUCUUUMCCUUUCAGGUAUUGAUGACCUGUUGUAGUUAUGCAUUGAUGGCUGUCCAAAUAGUUGCUACAUCUUUMGCUGUGGGUCAACUCACUAUGCUUGUACCAAARUUGAUUAURGGGCACCUUACACAGUGAUGAUUWUUGAAAAAUACAGAUUAAUUGUAGACAGUGGAAUGCAGCAAAUACAACAUUUAUUCAUAACAACACGAGGUGUGGACACUCUACAACACUCAGGCUUCCUCAUUGUGACUUGACUUGUUUCAGCAUG